AUGUUGUUUGGUGAAAUAAUCUCAUUUGACACCACUUACAGCAAAAACAAGUAUAACAUGCAUUUUGCACCUAUAGUUGGAAUUAAUGGCCAUGGUAGAACAAUUGUUUUUGGUUGGGCCCUAUUGCAAGAUGAGACUUCAGACACUUUUGAAUGGCUCUUUCAAAAUUUUAUGGAGGUAAUGCAGUGGAAGAAACCAAGAAUAAUAUUGACAGACCAAUAUGCAGGGAUGAAAGCUGCUAUUCCUAAAGUAUUUCCAGAUGCUAGACAUAGGUUCUAUCUUUGGCAUAUAUUUAAGAAUGUUAGGGAAAAUAUGAGUGCUUUUAUGGUACCAGGGAAAAAAUGGAGAAAAAUAUGA
This 357-nucleotide ribosomal RNA is filed under the name Triticum aestivum (bread wheat). RNAcentral describes it as "partial small subunit ribosomal RNA". Lineage: Eukaryota; Viridiplantae; Streptophyta; Magnoliopsida; Poales; Poaceae. The record is from RNAcentral.